Molecule: ribosomal RNA, 789 nt
Filed under: uncultured marine archaeon
Lineage: Archaea
Description: bacterial SSU rRNA
Rfam family: Archaeal small subunit ribosomal RNA
Source: RNAcentral
CUGACUGCUAUCGGAUUGAUACUAAGCCAUGCGAGUCAUUGUAGUAAUACAAGGCAGACGGCUCAGUAACGCGUAGUCAACCUAACCUAUGGACGGGAAUAACCUCGGGAAACUGAGUAUAAUGCCCGAUAGAACAUUAUGCCUGGAAUGGUUUAUGUUCCAAACGAUUUAUCGCCGUAGGAUGGGACUGCGGCCUAUCAGUUUGUUGGUGAGGUAAUGGCCCACCAAGACUAUUACAGGUACGGGCUCUGAGAGGAGUAGCCCGGAGAUGGGUACUGAGACACGGACCCAGGCCCUAUGGGGCGCAGCAGGCGAGAAAACUUUGCAAUGUGCGAAAGCACGACAAGGUUAAUCCGAGUGGUUUCUGCUAAAGGAACCUUUUGUCGGUCCUAGAAACACCGAUGAAUAAGGGGUGGGCAAGUUCUGGUGUCAGCCGCCGCGGUAAAACCAGCACCUCAAGUGGUCAGGAUGAUUAUUGGGCCUAAAGCACCCGUAGCCGGCUCUGUUAGUUUUCGGUUAAAUCUGUACGCUCAACGUACAGGCUGCCGGGAAUACUGCAAAGCUAGGGAGUGGGAGAGGUAGACGGUACUCGGUAGGAAGGGGUAAAAUCCUUUGAUCUAUUGAUGACCACCUGUGGCGAAGGCGGUCUACCAGAACACGUCCGACGGUGAGGGAUGAAAGCUGGGGGAGCAAACCGGAUUAGAUACCCGGGUAGUCCCAGCUGUAAACUAUGCAAACUCAGUGAUGCAUUGGCUUGUGGCCAAUGCAGUGCUGCAGGGAACCCGUUAA